Molecule: long non-coding RNA, 1390 nt
Organism: Oncorhynchus tshawytscha (Chinook salmon)
Lineage: Eukaryota; Metazoa; Chordata; Actinopteri; Salmoniformes; Salmonidae
Source: Ensembl
UGAUUUUUUCUGGAUCAAAUGCUCUAAAUAAAUGGACAUUUUGGAUAUAUAUGGACGGAAUUAAUUGAACAAAAGGACCAAUUGUGAUGUUAUGGGACAUAUUGGAGUGCCAACAAAAGAAGCCCCUCAAAGAUCACAUCUUUUGGACUGGCUGGAGGAAUGACCACCAAGGAGAAUGUGUGGAGAAUACUAACAAAACUCCUGACAAAUGCCCUGGCCAUGAAGAGGAACUGGAGAGGGGCCAAUGGGAUGCAGGCAUUCCAACCGCUCACCCUGUGCUAUCUGGCGAAACCACCAUAGAACCAAAGCUUCUGAUGGUGAAAUUGAGAAAUACAUCAAGAGGUGGAUGCAGCUGGCCUCUGACUGAGACGAAGGGAGAAAGAAGAGAACGCGACUGAGGGGAGAAGAAGACCAGAGCGGAGUAGAGGAGUGAUGUCACUACACCCUUCACUAUGCCCUACCCACUAAGCACAAUAACAAGGGAAUGCUGUUACCAUAACAAAACCAAUUUCGCUAAGAGGAAAUCUUGGUCCGUUUUAUUUUUACUAUGCAAUGGGUGCUAAAAUAAAUGCUUUUUAUCUUUUACAUGUUUUUUGUUGUUGAAGUAUGAUGUUUUUACACAGUUGCAACUUUAUUUGGUCCUUAUAAGCCUAUGCUGUCUUUGCCUACGAUGCAAUUGUCACCACUGAAAACCUUCAUGCAGAAUUUGGCUAGAUAUGCACUACAUAUACAAAAGUAUGUGGACAGCCAUUAAAAUUAGUAGAUCCCUGCCCCGCUCCCUGCCCCAAUGCAUAGUGCCAACUGUAAAGUUUGGUAGAGGAGGAAUAAUGGUCUGGGGCUGUUGUUCAUGGUCCGGGCUAGGCCGCUUAGUUCCAGUAAAGGGAAAUCAUAAUGUACAGCAUAGAAUUACAUUCUAGACAAUUAUGUGCUCCAACUUUGUGGCAACAGUUUGGGGAAGGGCCUUUCUUGUUUCAACAUGACAAUGCUCCUGUGCACAAAUCAAGGUCCAUAUAGAAAUGGUUUGCUGAGAUCGCUGCGGAAGAACUUGAAUGGCCUGCACAGAGCCAUGACCUCAACCCCAUCACUGUGGAAGAACUUGAUUGGCCUGCAUAGAGCCCUGACCUCAACUCCCACUAACACUCUUGUGGCUGAAUGGAAGCAAGUCCACACAGCAAUAUUGCAACUUCUAGUGGAAAGCCUUCCCAGAAGAGUGGAGGCAGUUAUGGCAGCAAAGGGGGGACCAACUCCAUAUUAUUGCCCAUGAUUUUGGAAUGAGAUGUUCGAUGAGCAGGUGUCCACAUUCUUUUGGUCAUGUAGUGUAUUUUCUUAUAUUCACUGACUGGACAUAUGACAUGUUGUGGAAUAGGACCGUCAUUGUGAGAUUUUUUUC